Molecule: non-coding RNA, 76 nt
Filed under: Lachnotalea glycerini
Lineage: Bacteria; Bacillati; Bacillota; Clostridia; Lachnospirales; Lachnospiraceae
Source: RNAcentral
GAAAGCCGUAUGAGGGAAAACCUCACGUAUGGUUUGAUGAGGGGAAAGAGGUCUUGCGACCUCCGACCUACUCUAC